Molecule: long non-coding RNA, 871 nt
Organism: Tigriopus californicus
Lineage: Eukaryota; Metazoa; Arthropoda; Copepoda; Harpacticoida; Harpacticidae
Exons: 2
Source: RefSeq, a predicted model, not a curated record
ACGUGACCCAGUUCCACUUCUAAAAUGGCGACCAAAAUGCGAUCGAAAGCCGGAAGGGCUCUUCAACCUGGACAAACAUAGAGACCUUUCCUCCUAAUGCAAUUCGAUCAUGCUAUAUUUUAUGAUUUUUUAAGCCGUCCAAAUCCCAAUGCUUUAACUAUGUUCCCGAUCAUAAACAAAAUCCUAGUCCUACGCAAUAGAAAAAAAAUCAAACAAACUUGUGGUAAAAACAUCAUGUUUCUAGAAAAAAACGGUCAAGUUGUGAACGUUUUCGAGUAAAGAAAGCACGCGAUGGUCAAACUCAAUACAGUCCAACCAAACUACUACUCAAUAAAACCAAUCAAACUUAAGAUAAUGGGAGUUAGAGGCCAUCGCCUUCGUCCCCACAAAGAUUCAAAUUUGGGAGGACCAAGUCUAAGAAGUUGGUUCUGCCUUGGCUUUCGGUAACUUCUCACAGGGGCUCACAAUCUCGUUUUCUGCGCCUCUCUCGGCAUUACUAAGGCCUGGCUGAUAUGGAUGGAGCUUGGCCCCUCUCCCCUGUGAAGAGCAAUCCAGGGCAUUGCUGACAAAGGCUCCGCCAAAACGUUGUCUGAAGGACAAGAGCCAGUUCCUGGCAUAUAAAAAGACCACUGGCGAUAGAGCACUUCAACAAUCCCCGAUUGAACCCUCACCGAUACACAUCUCGACAACAAGACGAAAACCUCCACAUUCAACAUGCCUCAAGGUUGCUGCGACAAAUGCAAGUGCGGAAUCCCCGACUGCUGCCGAAAGGGUUGCGAUUGUAAGAAUUGCGAUUGCAAAUGCUGCCCCAAGCAGUAAUGACAUGACGGUCGAAUGACUUUUGAGCAUGCAAUAAAGUAUUAAUUUUUGA